This 67-nucleotide transfer RNA is filed under the name Neotoma lepida (desert woodrat). It matches the Rfam family "tRNA". Rfam says of the family: Transfer RNA (tRNA) molecules are approximately 80 nucleotides in length. Their secondary structure includes four short double-helical elements and three loops (D, anti-codon, and T loops). Lineage: Eukaryota; Metazoa; Chordata; Mammalia; Rodentia; Cricetidae. The record is from Rfam by way of RNAcentral.
GGUAAAAUGGCUGAGUAAGCCUUAGACUGUAAAUCUAAAUGCAGAACUUUAAGUUCUCUUUUUACCA